Long non-coding RNA from Solanum pennellii, 5663 nucleotides. RefSeq lists it as uncharacterized. The record is from RefSeq and is a predicted model, not a curated record. The transcript is spliced from 2 exons. Lineage: Eukaryota; Viridiplantae; Streptophyta; Magnoliopsida; Solanales; Solanaceae.
UCCACUUCCUCGCGUAGAACUCCAGCAGCGCGCGUCCCCUUCCCCUCUCCCUUUCUCUCGUACGAAUGGUAUGCCUAGGUGUCGAAAUCUCCCUUCCCUCUCGUCGUUCCCCUCAAAUUGGACGUCCCAGAUUCUUCUUUCCGUUGAGCGAAUAGUACAAAUUCGUACUAUUCCGUUUCAACCUUAUCCCUUUAGGUUUUUGGAUUUCAAAACGGGACAUGAAAUCGCGAUUUUGCCCCAGCUCUUUUCGUGAUUUUUCCCCGCUCUCCACCAUUGAAAAAUGGCUAUAUAUAUUGUCAUUUCCCCACUGUUUCGGAAGGGUUUUUUUUUUAGGAGGGUUGGAAUUCCAUUGAUAUAAAACACAAAGAUAAUAGAGGAAAUUGGAAAGUUAAGGCAAUUUUCGAAAAAAAUUUCCUUUUUAUGUUCUAUUUCCUUCACUGUCUGUGGAGCGUGUUGAAGUUAUCAGACAUCCAUUGUGGUCGUGGAAGGUCAUCUCCUUACCAGCAAAGUCCCAGUCGCUGCUCGGAGAAAGGUUCAUCAGAACCUGGAAAGCUGCUGGAAAUUUACAUUACAGGUGUUGCAGAAAGCUGUAUACCAGCUAUAUACAUAGUGUAUACACUGAUAUACAAGUUGAAAAUGCACAGGAAAUCUUAAUUCGAAAUGUUGGUGUGUAGCAGUGAAGAUAUGCUUCCAAAAAGGGACUUUCAACUUUCGAAAGUUGAAAAACAGGCUGAUAUACAACAAGUAUACACUGGUAUAUAGGCGUGUAAUACUAUAAAUAUGUGUAAAAAUGUGAAUUGCAGGUUAACGUACUGGGACGCCAAUUUCAGAUAAAAUACGGGAAUAGGCAAUGAAUACGUGCAUAGAAUAAAGCCCGUAUACAUUGGUAUACAUCUUUUGGGCGGCGAUAUACAAUUGUUAAACAGGUUUAAAAAUGGUGCAGGUACAAACACGCAGAAAUAAUAUGGGAAAUACAGGGUGAAUAGCGAGAAAUGCGUAUUCGAUCAAGUGCAUGGCUCAAAAAGUCCAAAAUGAAUUGGAUAUGCACAGUAUACAUAAUUUGUAUACUUUAAUUAAUUUUUCUUUUUUUCAGGAAAUUGGGCUAGGGCCCUUUUCAGCAACAAUUUUGAUAGGCCCAAAAGGCCACAAGUGUUUUUCUGCAGGAUUCUAAAUUGUUAAUAAAAAAAAAGGGUCCGAGCCCACAUUUUGAAAUUAGUUUAGGACAGGUGGGCCAAAGCCCAAAUGAUUGAAUUCGGGCAAUCAAGCCCAAGUUCAAAUAUUUUUCUCUCUAUUAUUUAUUUGUUUGAAUUAAUUAAUAUUUUGGUAGAAUUAUAAUAAUCUCCGAAAGGGCAGCCAUUUUUUCAUUAUUUUAAAUUUUACUAUUUUAUUAACUUAUUUAGUUUUAUUUACUUUUAUCACCAUUUAGUUUUCGUUAAGUUAUUUCCCUCUUAAUAUUUACCUUUAGAAGUAAAAAAAUAUUAAAACGAAUUUUCUCUUUACUUAGUUAAAAAAUUUAUUUUAAAAGUCAUUUAGUCAAAUCGCCGGUCAACCACAAGUUAGCGGGCAUCCCGAGGGCCUAACACCUUCUCGGGAUGUACAUUGAACUUCAAACCUUUUUCAAUUGAUUUUAUCUGUUUUGAAUCUUUUGAAAAUUUUAACUUUUUCUUGAUUUUAUUAAAAAUCAAGUGGCGACUCCGUAAUUUGGAAAGUCGGUUUUUCUUAAAUAAUAAGAUUAAUUGAUUUUUCCUAAACCUAGUCAUCUUCACACUAUUUUUAAACAAUAGUUUUUUUUUUUUUAAAUAAAACAGUAAUUAAACCAUAAUAUAGCACAAUUUAAUCAUUGAAAAUGUUUUGAGAAAGAAUUCAUGCCUUGGAGUGAAAGUCCUAUCUUUUGGAGAUUUUUCUAUUUUAGCAUUGAGAGUUUGAGAACUUCGUGGAUGAAAAACUAUUGGAGAGGUUUUGAUUUGAUUUGGGGAUUUAUGAAUUUCGAUAUUAAAUGGGUUAUUUUUAGGCGGGAAAAAUACUUAUAUAAGUAGUUAAAUUAAGCAUUAAAGGACACCACUUGACAAUUAAAUGAAAAGGAAAUUGCGAAAAGACCCCUAGACACAACUGGAAAAAGGAAGUUACAUGUGUGAUCCACGACUAGAGACCCACAAACCGUGGGUGGGACCACAACCAGUACUGGUAGAUUAUCGGUCCUGGUCAGAGACCUGGUUUUUAGAGGCAUUACAGAAGACCCCCACAUAGAGGACGUUAGUGGACCUACGAGGCGUAGGUGCUUCUCAUGUGUCACUGCCACAUAUCUUUCUAGGCCUUUUCCUCAAGGACCAUGGUUGAUCCUUGGGGUUUAGGGCUUGACUUUCUAACAUGUAAAUAUUAAUUUUAAGGUACAAGACGAUAUUGUUAAGGCUCUAAUUAUGACGUCAAGCUUUUAUAUUUGCCUACUAGUUUUAGGUUAGACACUAGUUUAGCUUACAUAUUUUUAAAUGUUACGCUAUCUCCCCUUUGGAAACAUUCAUCCUUGAAUGAUGAUUUAGACACAAAACUCAUUUAGAGACUCAAUACUAGCAGCCCAUCAUGCAUGAAAUUUCUCAACAUGCAAAAAUUACAAAUGGACUAUUCACUACAUGCACUAUUCAAAGAAGGAAACAUCAACUCUAUUUCAAAAAUACAAAAAAUGCAAUACAACAUAGUAGGAACUCAUCUAACAACCCAAUUGUGCAUGAAACUCAAUAAUUAUUCAUGUUCAUCGGAGGAGCUACUUUUUCCAACUAAAAUAAUGCUCCACAUAAUAUGAUGGAGCCAAUAUACCAAUACUCUCAAAAGCAUAUUAAAUCAUGUUCUUCUACACAUCUCAUGAAGUCAAAUAGGUAACUAAGACUAAAUGCACAAUAACACGAGGCACAUAAAUCAUGAAAACUCAUUUUAUUACAAAACAUGAAUUUCAUCAAGAACAUGCAUAUCAUAGGGAAAUCAUGAAAAAAUUUAUACAACACACAUGACUCCCAAAACACUAAAACUUAAGAGGCACUAAUUACCUGAAGCUUGAUUAGGAGUAGAAGGAAAGAGAUGAGGAUAUCGGCAUCAACCUCAUAAGUAGCACCCUCAACUAGAUGAUUUCUCCACUGAACCUUGAUGGAAGUGAUUAAUGAUGUUUCAAAGAAAUUUCAUCUGAUUCUAAGCAUCAACGAUCGUUAAUCAGUAUAUAACGCAACUAAGUGAGUUAGGUUAAAUCCCGUCGGGAGCGGUACAUGUUCAAAAGUCAAUUGAGAAGUGCAAAUAUUACCAAAUCAUCAAUAGGAAUAGUCAUUAUCGAAUAAAAAUAUUUUAUAAAUCAGGGUGUGACACGAAUGUCAUAUAAGGGUUUUUUUGGUUUUAUUUUCAACUACAAAUAGAAAACAACGCAAAAUAAUAAUUAUGAGAUGGGUUCUUGGGAUGUGAUCCAACUAUAGGCUAAUAUAGACAAAUGGAUAAUUGAAACUAUUAGAAAAUAACCAAAUAUUAUUAGUAAGUUAGACUAUAGGGGAGGUAAACUUUCUCUCGAACAAUUUACCUUGAUUCAAGUCAUUUUCUCUUGAAUAUCGACAAGCAUGCAAAAUAAGACCAUCUCACACCUUAGUCCAGUCACUCUCUCGAGACUAAUGUGUGAAAAAGGGUUUAAGAUUCAAUCUCUCGAGCUGAACCCAUGACAACUCAAUAUUCACACACCAUCAAUCAAUAAUCUUAGUUUUAAAACCUCUCUCUAUCAAGCAAAAUAAACAAUGGUAUAACUACAUUGGAACUAUAAUUCUUGAAUUAAACCACAAUUAUUGAUUGAAUCACUUCUGAAUAGCAUUUGGAAAAAUAAUUAGCAAUACCCAUAAAGUAAAUCAACCCAUUAUCACAUAAAAACACACAAAGAAUCGGGGUUUUAGAUACACAUCAUAAAAAAUAAAAAUCAUUACCAAAUUGAGUUUGAAUCAACUAGGUAAGAUCGAUUUCAUCUUUACAAAUGUCUAAAUCAGACGAUCUCAACGACCCACUUCAAAUUUCUAAAAUAUGAAAAACUUCAAUUCUUCAAAGAAAAAGAAAAAUUAGACAAAACUUGUCUCACAUUUCAAAAGUUAAUAAUAUCUUCUAAAGAGUGUAUUUAAUUAUGAAUAAUGAUACUAAACUAAAUGUUCAAAAGAGUAUUUAUAGUCGCCAAAACUGUGCUGGGAGGAGCAACUCGACGCAGUAUAACGGGCUUGCCGAUCCACUCGACGAUCCGCUAUUUCGUCAAUUUUAUCGCCUUUUUUGAGUUGGCGUUGAGCAUCCUCAAGGUCUGUAACUUUUGGCGAUCCAACACUGCAUCGCAAAACCACACAGUGAUCCGCCAAGUGCUCAUUUCUCUUGACAACUUAGUUCUUUCUUCAGGGCUAGCAUAGUGGAAAUUUAGGCGGUCAAAUAGUCAUUCAUUGACUCGGCUUGUAGAGUUGGUGAUCACCAGGCUUGCUCCCUUUCAUUAUUUCUUCUUGCUUUGUUCCAUUUUGCAAAUUAGCGUCGUAGCUUUGCUCCUCAAUCCAUAUACAUGGAAAUCAAGUGUUUUUCAUCAGUUAUUGGCACAAAAAAAGCUUUUGAGGACACUAAAUCUAUAUAAAUAAAGUGUUCAAUAAGUCUAAUUCUAGGGCUAAUCAGUAAAUUACUUCCUUAUUUAUCAAUCUCUUGACUUGUCGAAGAAGGAUCUCUACCCGAACCUCCUCAUAGGAAAGACUUUCAUCAACACCUAUUCUUUCCAUAGGAAUAAUGGACAGAAGAUCCCGAAUACACCUUGUUGACACUCAAUUUUCGCCUAACAUUUUUAAAAAUUUCGUAAUUUUGAGCCACAACGCUAAGCCCGUUAUUUGAGCCCAUUUUGAGUUUUUAUUUAAGUGGGUAACUAGGUCAAAAGAGGGGGGGAAAUUUUUCUAGAAAAAAAAAAGGGAGAAACCCUUCCCCCCUCUCUCCAGCCGCCUCCCUCUUCUCCCCUCAUCCCCUCUUCUCUCUUCCUCCCAAACCCUUCCUCUCCCAUUUCGUCUCCAGCUCACAAAAUAGCCGCCUAAAACAUCCAGUCCACCACCACGCUGCUGCCAACAACUUCUGAGCUCGCAACGAACUUCAAGUAAGAACAAAUCUCAUUGCCUCUUCUCUCUUCCUCUACGCCGGAAUCCGACGAAACCUCCCUUCAAAACCCCUCUCCUCCACGCCGGAGGUUUGGCCAGCAAACAACCAGCCUUCGACCCUCAACCCAAAGCUCCGACCAGCAGCGACUAGUGAAAGAUGGAAGCGAAGCAGCAGUGCCAUCAGUCGCCGACUUCAAACGGACAGCAGCUCAAGCCAUCUCCCUUCUUCUCCUCCGUUCCCUUCCCCCCUCCAUCUCCAGUCGGUGACUCCAGCAGCAGCCAAAGAUGGAAAAUCGGCAAGGCCACCCGCACCAAAACACCAUCUUCAAUACACUUCAGCAAACACAGGUAGUCAUUUAUCUUAUUUUUUUUUUGCUAUUUUUAUUUUAUUUGCUUUCUGCGUUUUAGAUUUGGCUGGAGUGGUUCAAACUCCGGCCAUCGUUAUUUUCUAGCAAUAUUUUGUUUCUCAAAUGAAUACUUCUAGUUAGGAUUAUUGAUUAAGACAAAGCUUCCUUUGUUAAUGGGUUUGAUUGUUAUUAUUGA